UGACAAUUGGUUGGGUUUAUCUGGAG
This 26-nucleotide non-coding RNA is filed under the name Homo sapiens (human). The record is from RNAcentral. Lineage: Eukaryota; Metazoa; Chordata; Mammalia; Primates; Hominidae.